AGACAGAAGUGAGGAUGUGUUAAGCUUUUUGAAUGGUGCCCUUGACGUCGCUCCCCAAACUCAAAGCACCUCGGGAGAAAUCAAAGGUCCUGAGAAUACCUUUGGUAAACCAGCUACAACCCCAG
This is a long non-coding RNA of Coregonus clupeaformis (lake whitefish), 125 nucleotides long. RefSeq lists it as uncharacterized. The record is from RefSeq and is a predicted model, not a curated record. Lineage: Eukaryota; Metazoa; Chordata; Actinopteri; Salmoniformes; Salmonidae. The transcript has 3 exons.